UAAUACGGGGGGUGCAAACGUUGCUCGGAAUCAUUGGGCGUAAAGCGCGCGUAGGCGGCCUGAUAAGUCGGAUGUGAAAGCCCUCGGCUUAACCGAGGAAGUGCAUUCGAAACUGUCAGGCUUGAGUAUGGGAGAGGAUUGUGGAAUUCCCGGUGUAGAGGUGAAAUUCGUAGAUAUCGGGAGGAAUACCGGUGGCGAAGGCGACUUUCUGGCUGAAUACUGACGCUGAGGCGCGAAAGCGUGGGGAGCAAACAGGAUUAGAUACCCUGGUAGUCCACGCCGUAAACGAUGUGAACUAGAUGUAGGAGGUAUUGAUCCCUUCUGUGUCGCAGCUAACGCAUUAAGUUCACCGCCUGGGGAGUACGGUCGCAAGAUUA
This 377-nucleotide ribosomal RNA is filed under the name uncultured delta proteobacterium. RNAcentral describes it as "bacterial SSU rRNA". It matches the Rfam family "Bacterial small subunit ribosomal RNA", at positions 521 to 896 of the family's 1533-position model. The record is from RNAcentral. Lineage: Bacteria; Deltaproteobacteria.